This 463-nucleotide ribosomal RNA is filed under the name uncultured Streptococcus sp. Its description in RNAcentral is "bacterial SSU rRNA". It matches the Rfam family "Bacterial small subunit ribosomal RNA", at positions 920 to 1382 of the family's 1533-position model. The record is from RNAcentral. Lineage: Bacteria; Bacillati; Bacillota; Bacilli; Lactobacillales; Streptococcaceae.
CCCGCACAAGCGGUGGAGCAUGUGGUUUAAUUCGAAGCAACGCGAAGAACCUUUACCAGGUCUUGACAUCCCGAUGCUAUUUCUAGAGAUAGAAAGUUACUUCGGUACAUCGGUGACAGGUGGUGCAUGGUUGUCGUCAGCUCGUGUCGCGAGAUGUUGGGUUAAGUCCCCGCAACGAGCGCAACCCCUAUUGUUAGUUGCCAUCAUUCAGUUGGGCACUCUAGCGAGACUGCCGGUAAUAAACCGGAGGAAGGUGGGAUGACGUCAAAUCAUCAUGCCCCUUAUGACCUGGGCUACACACGUGCUACAAUGGUUGGUACAACGAGUUGCGAGUCGGUGACGGCGAGCUAAUCUCUUAAAGCCAAUCUCAGUUCGGAUUGUAGGCUGCAACUCGCCUACAUGGAAGUCGGAAUCGCUAGUAAUCGCAGGUCAGCAUACUGCGGUGAAUACGUUCCCGGGUCUU